CUUGCUCCCGGACGUUAGCGGCGGAGGGGGGACCAUAGGCAACCUGCCUUGKRACGGGGAUAACUUACGGAAACCGGAGCUAAUACCGGAUGUUAGAUGAAUCGCGCAUGCRUUUUAUCUUAAAGUUGGCCUCGGCUAACACUACAAGAUGGGCCUGCGGCSCAUUASCUARUUGGUAAGGUAGUGGCUUACCAAGGCGACGAUGCGUAGCCGACCUGAGAGGGUGAUCGGCCACACUGGGACUGAGACACGGCCCAGACUCCUACGGGAGGCAGCAGUAGGGAAUCUUCCGCAAUGGACGAAAGUCUGACGGAGCAACGCCGCGUGAGCGAUGAAGGCCUUCGGGUCGUAAAGCUCUGUUGUUAGGGAAGAACAAGUGCCGUUCGAAUAGGUCGGCACCUUGACGGUACCUAACCAGAAAGCCACGGCUAACUACGUGCCAGCAGCCGCGGUAAUACGUAGGUGGCAAGCGUUGUCCGGAAUUAUUGGGCGUAAAGCGCGCGCAGGCGGUCUUUUAAGUCUGAUGUGAAAGCCCACGGCUCAACCGUGGAGGGUCAUUGGAAACUGGGAGACUUGAGUACAGAAGAGGAGAGUGGAAUUCCACGUGUAGCGGUGAAAUGCGUAGAUAUGUGGAGGAACACCAGUGGCGAAAGCGACUCUCUGGUCUGUAA
Molecule: ribosomal RNA, 671 nt
Filed under: Bacillaceae bacterium PF2-1
Lineage: Bacteria; Bacillati; Bacillota; Bacilli; Caryophanales; Bacillaceae
Description: bacterial SSU rRNA
Rfam family: Bacterial small subunit ribosomal RNA
Source: RNAcentral